AGUGAACGCUGGCGGUAGGCCUAACACAUGCAAGUCGAACGGCAGCACAGUAAGAGCUUGCUCUUACGGGUGGCGAGUGGCGAACGGGUGAGGAAUACAUCGGAAUCUACUUUUUCGUGGGGGAUAACGUAGGGAAACUUACGCUAAUACCGCAUACGACCUACGGGUGAAAGCAGGGGAUCUUCGGACCUUGCGCGAUUGAAUGAGCCGAUGUCGGAUUAGCUAGUUGGCGGGGUAAAGGCCCACCAAGGCGACGAUCCGUAGCUGGUCUGAGAGGAUGAUCAGCCACACUGGAACUGAGACACGGUCCAGACUCCUACGGGAGGCAGCAGUGGGGAAUAUUGGACAAUGGGCGCAAGCCUGAUCCAGCCAUACCGCGUGGGUGAAGAAGGCCUUCGGGUUGUAAAGCCCUUUUGUUGGGAAAGAAAAGCAGCAGGUUAAUACCCCGCUGUUCUGACGGUACCCAAAGAAUAAGCACCGGCUAACUUCGU
RNAcentral lists this ribosomal RNA (491 nucleotides) under uncultured bacterium. Its description in RNAcentral is "partial 16S ribosomal RNA". It matches the Rfam family "Bacterial small subunit ribosomal RNA", at positions 29 to 506 of the family's 1533-position model. The record is from RNAcentral.